UUGAGCGAUUUACUUCGGUAAAGAGCGGCGGACGGGUGAGUAACGCGUGGGUAACCUACCCUGUACACACGGAUAACAUACCGAAAGGUAUGCUAAUACGGGAUAAUAUAUUUGAGAGGCAUCUCUUGAAUAUCAAAGGUGAGCCAGUACAGGAUGGACCCGCGUCUGAUUAGUUAGUUGGUAAGGUAACGGCUUACCAAGGCGACGAUCAGUAGCCGACCUGAGAGGGUGAUCGGCCACAUUGGAACUGAGACACGGUCCAAACUCCUACGGGAGGCAGCAGUGGGGAAUAUUGCACAAUGGGCGAAAGCCUGAUGCAGCAACGCCGCGUGAGUGAUGAAGGCCUUCGGG
RNAcentral lists this ribosomal RNA (351 nucleotides) under Clostridioides difficile. RNAcentral describes it as "bacterial SSU rRNA". It matches the Rfam family "Bacterial small subunit ribosomal RNA", at positions 62 to 422 of the family's 1533-position model. Lineage: Bacteria; Bacillati; Bacillota; Clostridia; Peptostreptococcales; Peptostreptococcaceae. The record is from RNAcentral.